CUCGUCGCCAUAUAAGUGCAGUUUUAGCAGGAGUCUACACCAGUUUCUUUCUCUUUUCCUCACGUCAUCAACCAGCAGGACUGUUUUUCCUGCGUACAACUGGGCUGCCUCUAGCCUAACUCAGAUCUUCCGGCCAUCAGAAGGAAACAAGUUUCGAUUGGAUCCGCUGAUCUUAGUAGAGGCAGAUGUGUUUUGGGCUUAAGAUCUAUAGGAAUUCUUGUUUCAUGAUUGACGUGCCGGCAAGCUUCUAUACGAACUUGGUCCAUCGUACAUCCGUGAGGCUAAAUAUACAUGUACAAAAAUUUCAGUAACAUGAAGUCAGAACAAUUUUU
Long non-coding RNA from Triticum aestivum (bread wheat), 332 nucleotides. RefSeq lists it as uncharacterized. The transcript has 3 exons. The record is from RefSeq and is a predicted model, not a curated record. Lineage: Eukaryota; Viridiplantae; Streptophyta; Magnoliopsida; Poales; Poaceae.